RNAcentral lists this non-coding RNA (182 nucleotides) under Hydrogenophilales bacterium CG_4_10_14_3_um_filter_63_21. RNAcentral describes it as "6S RNA". It matches the Rfam family "6S / SsrS RNA". From Rfam's summary of the family: E. coli 6S RNA was the first non coding RNA to be sequenced, but its function was unknown until recently. It consists of 184 nucleotides that fold into an extended hairpin structure with a large single-stranded internal bulge. The record is from RNAcentral. RNAcentral also lists the same sequence under 2 other names. Lineage: Bacteria; Pseudomonadati; Pseudomonadota; Hydrogenophilia; Hydrogenophilales.
AUCUCCCUGCUGCGUUCGCGAAGGUUGCGAAUUCUUUGAACCGAUAAGCGUAAGCGACGGUUGCGGCGAUCAAGUCUGCUGUUGUGCGCAUGGCCAAACCAAGUGCCUGAAGCAGAUGCGUUGCGGCCACUCUUGGACCCUGGGUUCAGGAAAGCAACCUGGACGGCGCAAGCGGGGAGACC